RNAcentral lists this ribosomal RNA (459 nucleotides) under uncultured bacterium. RNAcentral's name for it is "partial 16S ribosomal RNA". It matches the Rfam family "Bacterial small subunit ribosomal RNA", at positions 338 to 795 of the family's 1533-position model. The record is from RNAcentral.
CCUACGGGUGGCAGCAGUGAGGAAUAUUGGUCAAUGGACGCAAGUCUGAACCAGCCAUGCCGCGUGCAGGAUGACGGCUCUAUGAGUUGUAAACUGCUUUUGACGAGGGUAAACCCCGAUACGUGUAUCGGGUUGAAAGUAUCGUACGAAUAAGGAUCGGCUAACCUCGUUCCAGCAGCCGCGGUUAUACGGAGGAUUCGAGCGUUAUUCGGAUUUAUUGGGUUUAAAGGGUGCGUAGGCGGUUUGGUAAGUUAGAGGUGAAAUGUCGGGGCUCAACCCCGAAACCGCCUCUUAUACUGUUAGACUAGAGAAUAGUUGAGGUAGGCGGAAUGUAUGGUGUAGCGGUGAAAUGCUUAGAGAUCAUACAGAACACCGAUUGCGAAGGCAGCUUACCAAACUAUAUCUGACGUUGAGGCACGAAAGCGUGGGUAGCAAACAGGAUUAGAUACCCUGGUAGUC